Cinara cedri is the source of this 550-nucleotide non-coding RNA. The record is from the annotation of a GenBank genome assembly. NCBI's taxonomy places the organism in Eukaryota, Metazoa, Arthropoda, Insecta, Hemiptera, Aphididae.
GAACAGAGAUAGUUUCAAUUUUAUUUAAAGUUACCAUUUUUUUACAUAUUAUACAGUUGUACAAUACAAUACGCAUAUUACUAAUUUUCUAUUACAUAAUUACACGAUUAUCUGCACUAAGAAUAUUGAUUUAUUUCCAUGUCACUUUUUAUACCACAACGUACAUUACACGCUGCAACAUUUUGCACUAUAAAUUGCACUUCACAAUAAAUACUGCACGUAAAUAAAAUCCAAUCUCGACUAUUUGUGGAAUAUUUCUUCGAUUUUAAUGAUGUUUAAGUUGAAUAUGAUAUUGUUACAUGGGUGAUAAUCGAGCCUCGAGAACCUGUCUCAACGAUUUUUCCGUGCCUUUAGCAAUCCUUUAAAAUUCAUCGAAAUUUACUCCGAGCACUUACACUGUCUGUAGUAGGAAUAAUUAUUAUCAAAUUUUGGACUUUGCAGUAAUAGGUACACGACCACGACAUUUAUCGACGGCAUAUAUUGUAGUACAGUUGGCACCGGACCAUUUUAAUCAAUUCGUUUUUGCCAAACGGUCGGAAAUAAAUUGACA